Molecule: transfer RNA, 63 nt
Filed under: Argas lagenoplastis
Lineage: Eukaryota; Metazoa; Arthropoda; Arachnida; Ixodida; Argasidae
Description: tRNA-Met
Source: RNAcentral
UUUAAAGUAAGCUAAAUUUAAGCUAGUGGGCUCAUACCCCAAAAAUGAUUUUUUCCUUUAAUA